ACGCACGCUGGCGGCGUGCCUCAUACAUGCAAGUUGAGCGAUGAAGAUUGGUGCUUGCACCAAUUUGAAGAGCAGCGAACGGGUGAGUAACGCGUGGGGAAUCUGCCUUUGAGCGGGGGACAACAUUUGGAAACGAAUGCUAAUACCGCAUAACAACUUUAAACAUAAGUUUUAAGUUUGAAAGAUGCAAUUGCAUCACUCAAAGAUGAUCCCGCGUUGUAUUAGCUAGUUGGUGAGGUAAAGGCUCACCAAGGCGAUGAUACAUAGCCGACCUGAGAGGGUGAUCGGCCACAUUGGGACUGAGACACGGCCCAAACUCCUACGGGAGGCAGCAGUAGGGAAUCUUCGGCAAUGGACGAAAGUCUGACCGAGCAACGCCGCGUGAGUGAAGAAGGUUUUCGGAUCGUAAAACUCUGUUGGUAGAGAAGAACGUUGGUGAGAGUGGAAAGCUCAUCAAGUGACGGUAACUACCCAGAAAGGGACGGCUAACUACGUG
RNAcentral lists this ribosomal RNA (496 nucleotides) under uncultured bacterium. RNAcentral's name for it is "partial 16S ribosomal RNA". It matches the Rfam family "Bacterial small subunit ribosomal RNA", at positions 29 to 507 of the family's 1533-position model. The record is from RNAcentral.